This 301-nucleotide ribosomal RNA is filed under the name uncultured bacterium. RNAcentral describes it as "partial 16S ribosomal RNA". It matches the Rfam family "Bacterial small subunit ribosomal RNA", at positions 509 to 807 of the family's 1533-position model. The record is from RNAcentral.
CAGCCGCCACGGGAAUACGAAGGGUGCAAGCGUUAAUCGGGAUUACUGGGCGUAAAGCGUGCGUAGGCGGUUUGUUAAGUCUGUUGUGAAAUCCCCGGGCUCAACCUUGGAAUGGCAAUGGAUACUGGCAAGCUAGAGUGUGUCAGAGGAUGGUGGAAUUCCCGGUGUAGCGGUGAAAUGCGUAGAGAUCGGGAGGAAUACCGGUGGCGAAGGCGGCCCCCUGGACAAAGACUGACGCUCAGGUGCGAAAGCGUGGGGAGCAAACAGGAUUAGAUACCCCCGUAGUCCCUGUCUCUUAUAC